Long non-coding RNA from Benincasa hispida (wax gourd), 1224 nucleotides. RefSeq lists it as uncharacterized. The record is from RefSeq and is a predicted model, not a curated record. NCBI's taxonomy places the organism in Eukaryota, Viridiplantae, Streptophyta, Magnoliopsida, Cucurbitales, Cucurbitaceae.
GCAAAACUCCUCUCUCUCUUGUUCGAAUGUCUGAAAGGUUCUCUUAAGUCUUUCUAACUUUCUCUUUGUUGAUGGUGAUUUGCAAGGAAGCUGAAGAAAAUAAAGCAUGUACUCACAAGAAAAGAAGGAGAAGAAGAAGAAGAAAACAACAAUAUACGAGGUUUGGCUAAAAGUGCCUACAUCCAUGGGAGGGAGACGAUUUAUUCACAUUUAAUGCUACAAGAUAUGAUUUCUCUUCUUUUAUAGAUCUCACUUUCUCAUAGAUUAUACAUGAUUUGAUUUUAUACUUAGAGCUAUUUAUAUGCAAUGAUCUAAUUUAAUAGUUGUUGAGAAACUAUUUCUGGUAAAUGUAGCCGUUGAGAUCAAACAUCUUCAAAUCUCCACCUUGAUCACAAUGUAUGUAGUCUUCUCCUUCUAAUUUUGACUUUAUAUCAUCCCUUUUUAGGUAAAUUGAAGCCAAUUAGCUCUAAGCACUCGAGAAGCUUGAGUUUUGACACAGGCUUCGUGAGCAUCUCUACUGCAUUCUCAGAGGCUCUGAUACCAAUCUAUUAAGCUUGAAGGGCCCAAACUAGGCCCAAAAUUGAGACUAAUGCAAGGGAAUGAGUUAUGGCUUGGAAGAAGUGGCUAUAAAGAAGCAACAUAGCUGGUGAAAAGACAAACGAAGCUCUAUCCCCUUUUUCUUCCUUUAUCCUUAUUGGUGGAAUUCUAUUAUGAUCAGAAAGGCAGCUUUUAUUCCAGGGAGAGCCAUUACUGAUAACAUUAUUCUUGGACAUGAAUGUCUACCUUUCUUGAAGAAAAAGAAACAAAGAAAGGAAGGUUUUGCUGCAUUAAAGCUAGAUCUCAGUAAAGCAUAUGAUAGAAUGGAAUGGACAUUUCUUCAGAACAUAAUGCUUAAACUUGGUUUUAACCCUAGAUGGGUUUCUCUAAUUAUGGAUUGCAUUACAACGCCAACCUUAUCUAUUCAAAUCAAUGGUGAAACCAAAGGGAGAAUCAUUCCAUCAAGAGGACUCAGACAAGGGGAUCAUUUAUCUCCAUAUAUGUUUUUAUUUGUUGCAGGACUUUCAUCUUUAUUACAGAAUGCCAUAUCAAGAGAUGCUCUUUCAGGUUUUCGUUUAUCUAACACUUGUCCUACCAUUUCACAUCUAUUAUUCGUGGAUGACAGCAUGAUAUUUUGUAAAUAAAAUGUGGAAGAAUUGAUGAAUCUCAAACAUAUCCUAUCUAUUU